This 305-nucleotide ribosomal RNA is filed under the name uncultured bacterium. RNAcentral describes it as "bacterial SSU rRNA". It matches the Rfam family "Bacterial small subunit ribosomal RNA", at positions 334 to 657 of the family's 1533-position model. The record is from RNAcentral.
GAGCCUACGGGACGCAGCAGUGGGGAAUAUUGCACAAUGGGGGAAACCCUGAUGCAGCAACGCCGCGUGAGUGAAGAAGUAUUUCGAUAUGUAAAGCUCUAUCAGCAGGGAAGAAGAUGACGGUACCUGAUUAAGAAGCCCCGGCUAACUACGUGCCAGCAGCCGCGGUAAUACGUAGGGGGCAAGCGUUAUCCGGAUUUACUGGGUGUAAAGGGAGCGUAGACGGUUCUGCAAGUCUGAAGUGAAAGCCCGUGGCUUAACCGCGGAACGGCUUUGGAAACUGUGGAACUGGAGUGCUGGAGAGG